This 477-nucleotide ribosomal RNA is filed under the name uncultured bacterium. RNAcentral's name for it is "bacterial SSU rRNA". It matches the Rfam family "Bacterial small subunit ribosomal RNA", at positions 365 to 832 of the family's 1533-position model. The record is from RNAcentral.
UUCGCAAUGCCCGAAAGGGUGACGAAGCGACGCCGCGUGUGGGAAGAAGGCCUUCGGGUUGUAAACCACUGUCGGGAGUUAAGAAAUGCAAGGAUAUUAAUAGUGUCUUUGUUUGACUAAGGCUCCGGAGGAAGCCACGGCUAACUCUGUGCCAGCAGCCGCGGUAAUACAGAGGCGGCAAGCGUUGUUCGGAAUUAUUGGGCGUAAAGAGCACGUAGGCGGCUAUGUAAGUCGGUUGUGAAGGCCUUCCGCUCAACGGAAGAACAGCAUCCGAUACUACAUGGCUUGAGUGCGGGAGGGGAGAGUGGAACUUCUGGUGGAGCGGUGAAAUGCGUAGAUAUCAGAAGGAACGCCGGCGGCGAAAGCGGCUCUCUGGCCCAUAACUGACGCUGAGUGUGCGAAAGCUAGGGGAGCAAACGGGAUUAGAUACCCCGGUAGUCCUAGCCGUAAACGAUGGGCACUAAGUAGAGGGGUUUU